GGGGGCGAAAGGAUUCGACAGGGAUAGGAGUGGCAAGAGACGCAUACCGAGCUCCCGUAAGCUCGCUAAACAUGCGGGAAGAACAACAACUGGCAACACAGCAUAUGCCUUGGCUGCGUGAUGAACGCGGUCACGUCCCCUUUGCUUUUGCCCAAGGGGUAAAGGAUGGGCGUCGGUACUUGGGAUGAUCCUGCAACUUCGCUCUGGAGUUGGAGGAGAACUACUCACAGAGCUGGCUCUUCCGGUGCUUGCCUUAUGGAACCGGAAGUGUGAGAUUGACAUAAGGCUAAGUAUGUAGUGGCUUUUGCUUCUCCAUUUCUGGACGCGGGUUCGAUUCCCGCCGCCUCCAUUU
RNAcentral lists this transfer-messenger RNA (352 nucleotides) under bacterium. RNAcentral describes it as "o E44-bin18 X1 Standard tmRNA". It matches the Rfam family "transfer-messenger RNA". Rfam says of the family: Bacterial tmRNA, also known as 10Sa RNA or SsrA, is named for its dual tRNA and mRNA-like properties. The record is from RNAcentral.